Molecule: ribosomal RNA, 119 nt
Filed under: Capsicum annuum
Lineage: Eukaryota; Viridiplantae; Streptophyta; Magnoliopsida; Solanales; Solanaceae
Source: RNAcentral
GGAUGCGAUUAUACCAGCACUAACGCACCAGAUCCCAUCAGAAAUUCAAAGUUAAGCACUCUUGGACGAGAGUAAUACUAGGAUGGGUGAUUCCUUGGGAAGUCCUUGUGUUGUAUCCC